ACUCCUACGGGAGGCAGCAGUGAGGAAUAUUGGUCAAUGGACGCAAGUCUGAACCAGCCAUGUCGCGUGCAGGAAGACUGCCCUAUGGGUUGUAAACUGCUUUUAUACGGGAAGAAAUAUAGCUACGUGUAGUUAUUUGCCGGUACCGUAUGAAUAAGCAUCGGCUAACUCCGUGCCAGCAGCCGCGGUAAUACGGAGGAUGCGAGCGUUAUCCGGAUUCAUUGGGUUUAAAGGGGUGCGUAGGCGGAAGUAUAAGUCAGGGGUGAAAGUUUGUGGCUCAACCAUAAAAUUGCCUUUGAUACUGUAUUUCUUGAGUACAUUUGAGGUAGGCGGAAUGUGUUGUGUAGCGGUGAAAUGCUUAGAUAUAACACAGAACACCGAUUGCGAAGGCAGCUUACUAAACUGUAACUGACGCUGAUGCGCGAAAGCGUGGGGAGCAAACAGGAUUAGAUACCCUGGUAGGUCAGUC
Molecule: ribosomal RNA, 469 nt
Filed under: uncultured bacterium
Lineage: Bacteria
Description: bacterial SSU rRNA
Rfam family: Bacterial small subunit ribosomal RNA
Source: RNAcentral